GAUUAUGGCUCAGAUUGAACGCUGGCGGCAGGCUUAACACAUGCAAGUCGAGCGGGAAGAGUAGCUUGCUACUUACCUAGCGGCGGACGGGUGAGUAAUGCUUAGGAAUCUGCCUAUUAGUGGGGGACAACAUCUCGAAAGGGAUGCUAAUACCGCAUACGUCCUACGGGAGAAAGCAGGGGACCUUCGGGCCUUGCGCUAAUAGAUGAGCCUAAGUCGGAUUAGCUAGUUGGUGGGGUAAAGGCCUACCAAGGCGACGAUCUGUAGCGGGUCUGAGAGGAUGAUCCGCCACACUGGGACUGAGACACGGCCCAGACUCCUACGGGAGGCAGCAGUGGGGAAUAUUGGACAAUGGGGGGAACCCUGAUCCAGCCAUGCCGCGUGUGUGAAGAAAGGCCUUUUAGUUGUAAAGCACUUUAAGCGAGGAGGAGGCUACCGAGAUUAAUACUCUUGGAUAGUGGACGUUACUCGCAGAAUAAGCACCGGCUAACUCUGUGCCAGCAGCCGC
This 508-nucleotide ribosomal RNA is filed under the name uncultured bacterium. RNAcentral describes it as "bacterial SSU rRNA". It matches the Rfam family "Bacterial small subunit ribosomal RNA", at positions 15 to 518 of the family's 1533-position model. The record is from RNAcentral.